RNAcentral lists this ribosomal RNA (425 nucleotides) under uncultured bacterium. RNAcentral's name for it is "partial 16S ribosomal RNA". It matches the Rfam family "Bacterial small subunit ribosomal RNA", at positions 354 to 796 of the family's 1533-position model. The record is from RNAcentral.
GUGGGGAAUAUUGGACAAUGGGCGAAAGCCUGAUCCAGCCAUGCCGCGUGAGUGAUGAAGGCCUUAGGGUUGUAAAGCUCUUUCAGUAGGGAAGAUAAUGACGGUACCUACAGAAGAAGCCCCGGCUAACUUCGUGCCAGCAGCCGCGGUAAUACGACGGGGGCUAGCGUUGUUCGGAUUUACUGGGCGUAAAGCGCACGUAGGCGGAUUGGUCAGUUAGAGGUGAAAUCCCGAAGCUCAACUUCGGAACUGCCUUUAAUACUGCCAGUCUCGAGUCCGGAAGAGGUGAGUGGAACUCCUAGUGUAGAGGUGGAAUUCGUAGAUAUUAGGAAGAACACCAGUGGCGAAGGCGGCUCACUGGUCCGGUACUGACGCUGAGGUGCGAAAGCGUGGGGAGCAAACAGGAUUAGAAACCCCAGUAGUCC